GCUUUUACCUGGCAGGGCAGAUACCAUGGUCAAGAAGGGGGUUUUUCCAAGGUGAAUCUCAUUCAUUGCACUUAAGGUAUACUGACCCCUGCAAUUUUCCCCAAAUAUGGGAAAUCUAGCUGCAUAAUAUAUGGUAGUGGGGGACAGUGUUCGUGCUUUCUCCUA
This 165-nucleotide small nuclear RNA is filed under the name Nannospalax galili (Upper Galilee mountains blind mole rat). RNAcentral describes it as "U1 spliceosomal RNA (ENSNGAG00000004632.1)". It matches the Rfam family "U1 spliceosomal RNA". From Rfam's summary of the family: U1 is a small nuclear RNA (snRNA) component of the spliceosome (involved in pre-mRNA splicing). The record is from Rfam by way of RNAcentral. Lineage: Eukaryota; Metazoa; Chordata; Mammalia; Rodentia; Spalacidae.